CCUACGGGCGGCUGCAGUGGGGAAUAUUGCACAAUGGGCGCAAGCCUGAUGCAGCCAUGCCGCGUGUGUGAAGAAGGCCUUCGGGUUGUAAAGCACUUUCAGCGGGGAGGAAGGCGGUGAGGUUAAUAACCUCAUCGAUUGACGUUACCCGCAGAAGAAGCACCGGCUAACUCCGUGCCAGCAGCCGCGGUAAUACGGAGGGUGCAAGCGUUAAUCGGAAUUACUGGGCGUAAAGCGCACGCAGGCGGUCUGUCAAGUCGGAUGUGAAAUCCCCGGGCUCAACCUGGGAACUGCAUUCGAAACUGGCAGGCUAGAGUCUUGUAGAGGGGGGUAGAAUUCCAGGUGUAGCGGUGAAAUGCGUAGAGAUCUGGAGGAAUACCGGUGGCGAAGGCGGCCCCCUGGACAAAGACUGACGCUCAGGUGCGAAAGCGUGGGGAGCAAAUAGGAUUAGAUACCCCAGUAGUC
RNAcentral lists this ribosomal RNA (465 nucleotides) under uncultured Klebsiella sp. RNAcentral's name for it is "bacterial SSU rRNA". It matches the Rfam family "Bacterial small subunit ribosomal RNA", at positions 338 to 795 of the family's 1533-position model. Lineage: Bacteria; Pseudomonadati; Pseudomonadota; Gammaproteobacteria; Enterobacterales; Enterobacteriaceae. The record is from RNAcentral.